Molecule: long non-coding RNA, 1479 nt
Organism: Ictalurus punctatus (channel catfish)
Lineage: Eukaryota; Metazoa; Chordata; Actinopteri; Siluriformes; Ictaluridae
Source: Ensembl
AGCUUGUAUAUGUUGAAACGAAAUGACGUUCUCCAGGACCACAGUACAACACGUAACAGUACACAAGACAAGGCAGAAAAGUGUGACACGAGUGCAGGACAUGGAACUCUCACUCAGCGGUGCGUCAGGUCUCGAUGUGCGCAGGAAGACUGCAGCAGCUGCAGAUCUGAACACACCUACUGAUCACAGAACAGUGCUCUGCGUUAAGAGGCCAAACUCAUGGGGAUAUAAACAAGAAUAAUUACUACUUCUCUCCGGCAUGUAACGCAUUUCACUCCUUUCUCUUCGGUCAGAAGUUUGCACAGAUUUAAUCACAGGAUGUUCAUCGUGUGAUGGUCUGAAGCAACGCAGCGUCACGAGGAUAUGACUCUCACUUCCUGUUCUUCCUGCUCAGAAAUGAAUGAGUGUUUCUUUAACCUUUAACACAUCUGUAGCUGAUGAGACGGAGAUGUGGGAAUAGUCGAUGUAAAUGUCAUGUCGGGAAUAGAACACUUGGGGGCGUCGGAGGAAAACGUGCCGCAUUCGAUUGAAACUCGAUUUGUAUUUCAUUAAAGAACACAUCGUAUUCUUUAUCCGUUUGUGUUUUAAUGUUACGUUCUGAUUCGAACUCUCGUCUCGGCUUCAGCUCCACACCAUGGUGUCGUAUAAGAGGCUGACCCCAGAGGAGGUCAACUUCUCCGGCGUGCCUUUACUGCAGUCUCAUGAUGAUUCUCAGGACAGUGAGCUGAAGGUGGAAGAUGCAGAGCGCCCUCUGCUGGCCCGGAGGCCUCAGUGCUCCGUCACUUCUGCCCUGUUGACCCUAGGAGGCUUUAUCCUCGUAGUCCUCGGUGUCUGGUUACUAGGAAACCGUGCUUUGGCUGCGUAGUACCGCUUCCAUAGGAAUCCACCGCCCUCCAUCACCCGGCAAAGACAACCGGACACGACCGGAAUCCUGCUCCGUUAUUCCAGAAUCCUGGAGGUUCGACUGCUAUCCAGAGAGAGGUGUUGUGGUGGACUGAGGAUUUGUGUCACUCCAGGAACUGUUGCUUUGCACGUGCAGCCACUGAGCAGAGCGGUGUCCCGUGGUGCUAUUAUCCAACAGAUUUUCCAUCGUAUACGCUAGCGGCUAUUAACGACACCGAGACGGGAUCGAUCGGGGAAACUGGUCCGUACUCAGAAGACGUAUUAUCCUAUGGAUAUUGAGGUGCUGAGGCUGGAUGUGCUGUACGAGUCGAACAGCAGACUGCGUGUAAAAAUAACAGAUCCCGCACAGCAGAGGUUCGAGGUUCCUAUAGAUGUUCCUGUGGUGGAAAAACGAGCUCCGAAUCCCUUGUACACAGUGGAGUUCUCCAAACAGCCGUUCGGGAUCAUCGUUAAGAGAACACAAACCGGAGCUGUGCUGUAAGUACGUGUGUGAGAGAGAAAGGUGAAAAGGAAAAAAACAUUUACAAGUGAGGAGUAACUGAGAUUUGUUUUACUCAGUUAAUGAUGAUGAUGAUG